This is a long non-coding RNA of Protopterus annectens (West African lungfish), 418 nucleotides long. RefSeq lists it as uncharacterized. The record is from RefSeq and is a predicted model, not a curated record. The transcript has 3 exons. Lineage: Eukaryota; Metazoa; Chordata; Ceratodontiformes; Protopteridae.
UUGAAUUGUAUAUAAAAAGGCCAUGAAAGGGGUCUCACAACAUUUUAUUUAUUUUUCUUUGUUUACUAGGAAAUUCCAACUGAGGUUUCUCCCAUUUCCAGGGAAGACCUGGGGUGAAAGGUUCCACAGAAAAGAAUAGCUGAGCUGUUUUUGCAAGAUCUGGACUUGGAAAUUUAAUUUAGAAAUGUUCUCUGCCAUGUGGAUGCCAGGCUGUUCUUCGGGUAUUAUGACUAGCACCUGUGGAAGGCACUCAGAGGCAAGGAGGAUUGCAGCAGGAAUCGAACCAUGUACAUUGAGCUGACACAUAGGCUUGAAGAACAGCGGGGGGAGACAUGAUGUUGAUUAUUUUUGCUGUUUUAUUAAAUUAAAUGCAUCUUCCCCUUUUUACAGGCCUGUAUUUUUUCGCAAUAAAAUGUAU